Molecule: long non-coding RNA, 651 nt
Organism: Rhododendron vialii
Lineage: Eukaryota; Viridiplantae; Streptophyta; Magnoliopsida; Ericales; Ericaceae
Exons: 2
Source: RefSeq, a predicted model, not a curated record
AGAAGUAUUGUAAUUAUUAGUAAAGGCGUGACACAUGGAAAUACGAAUAGUGUUGUAGUUAUAUGAUUAGGGGGUUGAUGUGAAGGAAUCAUUGGUGUAGGGGUGAAAGUGCAAUAAGUGAAUAUGUAUAUAUAUGUUGGAACGUACAGGGAAAUCAUUUUUUCUUUCCCUUUUCCUUCUUUUUUUCUUCUUCUUUCUCGUUUCUCUCUGCUCCUCCUCCAAAAACACCCCCUACACUUCUCUCCUCGAUUUCAUCUACUGAGGGCGUGAUUUCGAACAAAGCCCAAGAAUUAAAGUUGUUAUACGGAGCGCAGGCUUCCUAUCCAUCCAAGAAAAAUCAAGAUCGGACCUCGCGGAGCUACGGUUGACUUGGUCAAAGGGUCGGGUUUUGCUCAAAACCCUUGAGGUAUGAUUCAAGGAUGUUGGCAUGGAGUGCUUGUUGUGCAUUUAUGACCAAACCUUUAAAAGGUAUUUAAGAAGGAUUUCAUAGCACAAGAUCUGAAAGAGCAUUUUUAGGAAAGAUAUUAUUUAUAAAUUGUAAUAAUAUUUCCGUAGGAUACUGGUAUUUCGAUGACUUGGGGCCUUCGAGUUGGAAAUGUAAUAUUUAAAUUUUAUUUGAGAACAGUGAACAAAAAGGUCUUUUGGGGUAUU